RNAcentral lists this ribosomal RNA (327 nucleotides) under uncultured eukaryote. RNAcentral describes it as "partial 18S ribosomal RNA". It matches the Rfam family "Eukaryotic small subunit ribosomal RNA", at positions 1470 to 1796 of the family's 1831-position model. The record is from RNAcentral.
CCCCUAGAUGUUCUGGGCCGCACGCGCGCUACACUGAACAGUUCAACAAGUCUUAACCUUGGCCGAUAGGUCUGGGUAAUCUUUGAACGCUGUUCGUGAUUGGGAUAGACCUUUGCAAUUAUGGGUCUUCAACGAGGAAUUCCUAGUAAACGCAAGUCAUCAGCUUGCAUUGAUUACGUCCCUGCCCUUUGUACACACCGCCCGUCGCACCUACCGAUUGAAUGGUCCGGUGAAAUCUUCGGACCGUAACUUUGAUUUGUUUACUCAAAACGCUGUUACGGGAAGUUGAUUAAACCUUACCAUUUAGAGGAAGGUGAAGUCGUAACA